This 256-nucleotide ribosomal RNA is filed under the name uncultured Gardnerella sp. RNAcentral describes it as "partial 16S ribosomal RNA". It matches the Rfam family "Bacterial small subunit ribosomal RNA", at positions 103 to 355 of the family's 1533-position model. The record is from RNAcentral. Lineage: Bacteria; Bacillati; Actinomycetota; Actinomycetes; Bifidobacteriales; Bifidobacteriaceae.
CGGGUGAGUAAUGCGUGACCAACCUCGCCCCACUGCUCCAGAAUAGCUCUUGGAAACGGGUAGGGUAAUGCUGGAUGCUCCAACUUGACGCAUGUCUUGUUGGGAAAGUGUUUAGUGGCAUGGGAUGGGGUCGCGUCCUAUCAGCUUGUAGGCGGGGUAAUGGCCCACCUAGGCUUCGACGGGUAGCCGGCCUGAGAGGGCGGACGGCCACAUUGGGACUGAGAUACGGCCCAGACUCCUACGGGAGGCAGCAGCC